RNAcentral lists this ribosomal RNA (877 nucleotides) under Chaetospermum camelliae. RNAcentral's name for it is "partial large subunit ribosomal RNA". It matches the Rfam family "Eukaryotic large subunit ribosomal RNA", at positions 81 to 952 of the family's 3401-position model. Lineage: Eukaryota; Fungi; Basidiomycota; Agaricomycetes; Sebacinales; Sebacinaceae. The record is from RNAcentral.
UAGUCACGGCGAGUGAAGAGGGAAGAGCUCAAAUUUUGAAUCUGGCGUCUUUGGCGUCCGAGUUGUAAUCUAAAGAAGUGUUUUCCGUGAUGGACCGUGCACAAGUCUCCUGGAACGGAGCGUCAUAGAGGGUGAGAAUCCCGUAUAUGGCACGAUUACCAUUGCUCUGUGAUACACUCUCGACGAGUCGAGUUGUUUGGGAAUGCAGCUCAAAAUGGGUGGUAAAUUCCAUCUAAAGCUAAAUAUUGGCGAGAGACCGAUAGCGAACAAGUACCGUGAGGGAAAGAUGAAAAGCACUUUGGAAAGAGAGUGAAACAGUACGUGAAAUUGUUGAAAGGGAAACGCUUGAAGUCAGUCGCGCUCGUUUGGAUUCAGCCUGGCUUUUGCCUGGUUUACUUCCUUGCGGGCGGGUCAACGUCAGUUUUGACCGGAGGAAAAAGCUUUGAGGAAUGUGGCAGUUUACUGUGUUAUAGCCUCUUGGUGUAUACUUCGGUUGGGAUUGAGGACCGCAGCGCGCCUUACGGCCGGGGUUCGCCCACGUACGCGCUUAGGAUGUUGGCAUAAUGGCUUUAAGCGACCCGUCUUGAAACACGGACCAAGGAGUCUAACAUGUGCGCGAGUGUUUGGGUGUUAAACCCGAGCGCGAAAUGAAAGUGAAAGGUUGGGAACACUUAUGUGUGCACCGACGCCCGGAGCAGACCUUCUGUGACGCACCUGCGGUAGAGCGUAUAUGUUGGGACCCGAAAGAUGGUGAACUAUGCCUGAAUAGGGUGAAGCCAGAGGAAACUCUGGUGGAGGCUCGUAGCGAUUCUGACGUGCAAAUCGAUCGUCAAAUUUGGGUAUAGGGGCGAAAGACUAAUCGAACCAUCUAGUAGCU